CUACGUGCCAGCAGCCGCGGUAAUACGGAAGGUCCAGGCGUUAUCCGGAUUUAUUGGGUUUAAAGGGAGCGUAGGCCGGAGAUUAAGUGUGUUGUGAAAUGUAGACGCUCAACGUCUGACUUGCAGCGCAUACUGGUUUCCUUGAGUACGCACAACGUUGGCGGAAUUCGUCGUGUAGCGGUGAAAUGCUUAGAUAUGACGAAGAACUCCGAUUGCGAAGGCAGCGGACGGGAGCGCAACUGACGCUUAAGCUCGAAGGUGCGGGUAUCGAACAGGAUUAGAUACCCUGGUAGUCCGCACAGUAAACGAUGGAUGCCCGCUGUUGGUACCUGGUAUCAGCGGCUAAGCGAAAGCAUUAAGCAUCCCACCUGGGGAGUACGCCGGCAACGGUAAAACUCAAAGGAAUUGACGGGGGCCCGCACAAGCGGAGGAACAUGUGGUUUAAUUCGAUGAUACGCGAGGAACCUUACCCGGGCU
This 477-nucleotide ribosomal RNA is filed under the name uncultured bacterium. Its description in RNAcentral is "bacterial SSU rRNA". It matches the Rfam family "Bacterial small subunit ribosomal RNA", at positions 501 to 981 of the family's 1533-position model. The record is from RNAcentral.